UGGUGGGUAGUUUGACUGGGGCGGUCUCCUCCUAAAGAGUAACGGAGGAGCACGAAGGUUGGCUAAUCCUGGUCGGACAUCAGGAGGUUAGUGCAAUGGCAUAAGCCAGCUUGACUGCGAGCGUGACGGCGCGAGCAGGUGCGAAAGCAGGUCAUAGUGAUCCGGUGGUUCUGAAUGGAAGGGCCAUCGCUCAACGGAUAAAAGGUACUCCGGGGAUAACAGGCUGAUACCGCCCAAGAGUUCAUAUCGACGGCGGUGUUUGGCACCUCGAUGUCGGCUCAUCACAUCCUGGGGCUGAAGUAGGUCCCAAGGGUAUGGCUGUUCGCCAUUUAAAGUGGUACGCGAGCUGGGUUUAGAACGUCGUGAGACAGUUCGGUCCCUAUCUGCCGUGGGCGCUGGAGAACUGAGGGGGGCUGCUCCUAGUACGAGAGGACCGGAGUGGACGCAUCACUGGUGUUCGGGUUGUCAUGCCAAUGGCACUGCCCGGUAGCUAAAUGCGGAAGAGAUAAGUGC
This 513-nucleotide ribosomal RNA is filed under the name Escherichia coli. RNAcentral's name for it is "partial 23S ribosomal RNA". It matches the Rfam family "Bacterial large subunit ribosomal RNA", at positions 2259 to 2771 of the family's 2925-position model. RNAcentral also lists the same sequence under 5 other names. The record is from RNAcentral. Lineage: Bacteria; Pseudomonadati; Pseudomonadota; Gammaproteobacteria; Enterobacterales; Enterobacteriaceae.